CGGCGGACGGGUGAGUAACGCGUGGGGAACCUGCCUUACACAGGGGGAUAACAGUUAGAAAUGGCUGCUAAUACCGCAUAACCCGCUGGGGUCGCAUGACCCUGACGGAAAAGAUUCUAUCGGUGUAAGAUGGACCCGCGUCUGAUUAGCUGGUUGGUGAGGUAACGGCUCACCAAGGCGACGAUCAGUAGCCGACCUGAGAGGGUGAUCGGCCACAUUGGGACUGAGACACGGCCCAAACUCCUACGGGAGGCAGCAG
Molecule: ribosomal RNA, 259 nt
Filed under: uncultured bacterium
Lineage: Bacteria
Description: partial 16S ribosomal RNA
Rfam family: Bacterial small subunit ribosomal RNA
Source: RNAcentral